CGUUGCCAAGGACACUGUGUAUGAAUGGUAUGUAUGUGUAUAAGAGAAAUAUAAAGUUGGAGUCACCUCUAAAAUUUUUAAAACAGAUCUGGCCACUCAAGAAGACUCCUUCAGAGAAGGCUGCUCAGUUACCAGCACACUUGAGAAUAGUGAAUCUGGAAUUAUGUUAACAUAUUGGAACUUUCCAUGGAGUCUGAAAUGGUGAAACAGCAAUUUAAAUUGUAGACUUUCAAAACUGUCAAAAAAAAUUGAUGAUGUACUCCUGCUUGCCAGGAAGGGGCUUAUGCAACACCUUUGGGCUGAAUAUAAGAGGCCAAUAAAAAUGGAAAUUCUGGGGGGAAUUCCAUGAAAUCUGUAAUUGAAGUGGUCCCAUUCUUCUAUUGCUGUCAAGCAGGCCAUUUUGACAUCUAUUAACUAAUAUAGGCUCUUUGAAGACAGUGGAAUACUGUUUGUCUCCAUACUGUCAAUGCCCAGCGUAAUCUCUGACAAAUGAAUUUCGCUCUUGUCGCCCAGGCUGGAGUGCAAUGAUGCGAUCUCGGCUCACUGCAACCUUCGCCUCCUCGGUUCAAGUGAUUCUCCUGCCUCAGACUCCCGAGUACCUGGGAUUACAGGCAUGUGCCAGCACGCCUGUAUUUUUGUAUUUUUAGUAGAGACGGGGUUUCACCAUGUUGGCUAGGCUGGUCUGGAACUCCUGACCUCAGGUGAUCCGCCCGCCUUGGCCUCCCAAAGUGCUGGGAUUACAGGCAUGAGCCAUCGUGCCCGGCCUGUUGUAAUUUCCUUCUCUAUACUAAAAGGUGUUUUAUACAUAUAAAGUAUUUUUCUUUAUUAUAAUGAGAAAUAAAUCUUAUAAAAAUAUUUGGGUACCAGGAAAGGAUUUUAAAUUUUUACAUAGAAAAUUAUAAAAGAAAAAAGUUGGCUGAAAAGGUUUUCUGCUCCUGAAAUAGUUACUCUUAUAGUCAACAAUAUGAGGAAAUCACAGCAUGCUGAAACAAGGCGGCUACAUUUAGAAGAAUGCAAUGGACAAAUUGAAACUGAGGGGGAUUCUUAGGCAGUCAGUAUGAAUAUGACAAAUGAACUCACAGUCUGGUUCUUUUCUUUCUUCCUGUUUUCCAUCACUGCCAUUGGCUGCUAAGACCAUUUAGAUGAAGGUUAAUGGGAAAACUUUAUAUUGAAUAAAUAAAACAACUGAAGCUGCUGAUCAAUCUUAGUAUCACUAAAUAUGGAACAGCCAAACAAGAUGUGUCUCCUGAUGUGAUGCAAUAGAAAGUACGUAACACUAACGAUGAAGUAUUUUUGCCAAAAGACAAAAAUAAACAAACACAUAAUAAUAACUUAACUCUCAUAAAUUUCUAGAUCUACCAGCUUUUAGGAAAUACUUGGGAUGGGUGUAUUAAAUGGCUCUCUGAGGGUAUCAUCAGGUAAAUCUAGAAAUUUAUCCUACAGAAUCUAUCUGUAUUUUAUAGGAUAAAUUACCUGGUUUCUUAAAUAAAUAAAAAUGAUAUGAAAUUUUAAAGCUGGAGGGGAAACCAUCAUAUAUUUAAAACAACCUAAGAGACACAUCAAGCAAAUGCAAAUGUGUUAAAUUUGUUUAGAUUCUGAAUUGAAGAAACUGAUAUAAAGAAUUUUUCAGCCAACUGCAGAUAUAUGAAUGGGGACAAUUAUAGAUGUUAUUUUGAAAAAACAAAACAAAACCCCAUAACUGUUAGAAAUAACGAACUCCUGGAAUUUGCUUUAAAAUUCUCCAGCUAGGGUAUGUGUGGGUGGGGUGUGCAUGUUCAUGUUUAUGUGUGUAUAGAUGAAACAAAAUUGGUAAAAUGUUGAUAAUUAUUCACUUUGUGAUGAGUACAUGGGGAUUCCUUAUACUCUACUCUCCACUUCUAGAUAUGUUUGAAAUUUUGCAGGAAAAAAAAGCUUAAAAAUGGCUUAUUUUCUAAGCAUUGUACUCUCUCUACAAAGAACCUGAUUAUCCAGGUUCUUUGUACUCUCUGUACAAAGAACCUGAUCACCUGAGGCUGUAAACUCAAUAUUUAUAUUACAAUACAAAUAAAUAUAAUUAUUCUUCUUAAUCGUGGAUAGAUGCCAACAUUUAAAAAAGCAGUUCCUUUUUUUGCUUUGGAAAAUUUUAUAAAAUCUCUCUAGUUGAGGAUCAAGGAAGCUUUAUCCCAGUUCUUCAUCUCUUUGGUAUGCAUUAGAAUCCUCAAGUUUUCUGCUAAUGAAAGGAACUUGUUUCACAAUGGGCAGAGUGUUGGCCUCAUUCCAUUGACUCUUGGUUUACUCAGAUUGGCUUUUUACAGAGCAUAAAGUAAUUACAUUAAGUGCCAACCCAUCACUUUAUUUUAGUAAGAUAAAUUGCCUCAAGAAUCCCUAAAGAGAAUAUCUUACUUAUAAGAUACAACUUUCUUUAAGGGAAUAUCCCAUGUACUUAGAUUAAAACCCAGUGUAAAAUGUGCUUUAAAUGAGGCACUUUUAAAUUUCUGACCUGGUUCCUGGGUAUUUCUUCCCUUUAAGUGCAGAUUUUUUCCCUCCUGGUAAAAACAGAAAAACCCUUCUAAAAUGUGGAAGAAAUUGCAAAUGAUCUUCCGCACCAGCUACCUUUACCUCUUAUCUACGUUUAAUUCAAUACAUCAAAAUGUGAUUUGUAGCAAAUGUAAGGGGUCUUAAAUAUUGAACAGGAAUUAAGACGUAGAUUACAAUGUUCUACUGAUGUACUAACUCAGGAAUGUAGGUCAACUGUUUUAUAUUAUUAUGACAGGUUCUUCUUUUAUUAAUGUAUGCUUUGACAAUG
RNAcentral lists this long non-coding RNA (2785 nucleotides) under Homo sapiens (human). RNAcentral describes it as "HSALNT0192192". The record is from RNAcentral. Lineage: Eukaryota; Metazoa; Chordata; Mammalia; Primates; Hominidae.